CCUACGGGUGGCAGCAGUGAGGAAUAUUGGUCAAUGGACGAGAGUCUGAACCAGCCAAGUAGCGUGAAGGAUGAAUGCCCUAUGGGUUGUAAACUUCUUUUAUAAAGGAAUAAAACGAGGCACGUGUGCCUUUUUGCAUGUACUUUAUGAAUAAGGAUCGGCUAACUCCGUGCCAGCAGUCGCGGUAAUACGGAGGAUCCGCGCGUUAUCCGGAUGUAUUGGGUUUAAAGGGAGUCUAGAUGGGUUGUUAAGUCAGUUGUGAAAGUUUGCGGCUCAACCGUAAAAGUGCAAUGGAUACGGGCAGUCUUGAGUACAGUUGAGGUAGGCGGAAUUCGUGGUGUAGCGGUGAAAUGCUUAGAUAUCACGAAGAACCCCGAUUGCGAAGGCAGCUUACUAACCUGUGACUGACAUUGAUGCUCGAAAGUGUGGGUAUCAAACAGGAUUAGAUACCCUAGUAGUC
This 460-nucleotide ribosomal RNA is filed under the name uncultured bacterium. RNAcentral describes it as "partial 16S ribosomal RNA". It matches the Rfam family "Bacterial small subunit ribosomal RNA", at positions 338 to 795 of the family's 1533-position model. The record is from RNAcentral.